This is a long non-coding RNA of Camelus dromedarius (Arabian camel), 597 nucleotides long. RefSeq lists it as uncharacterized. Lineage: Eukaryota; Metazoa; Chordata; Mammalia; Artiodactyla; Camelidae. The transcript has 2 exons. The record is from RefSeq and is a predicted model, not a curated record.
CCAGAGGCGCGCUGGGUCCGGGGGACACGCUGCUCUUCCCCGAAGACCAGCCCGGGUUAAAAGCUGCCCCCCGGACGCGGCCGUGGAGACAGCGAUCAGGCACAAAGCUGGACGCCUGGGGCGAAGCGCGCGCGUGCGCACUGCGCCUGGGAACCCGAUUAGGCCCAGAGGAGGGCGGCGCGCGGCGGCCGGCGCGCUCCCCAGGCGGGCGCGCUCCCCAGGCGGGCGCGGACGGCGCAGAGGCGCCGGGGAGCUCCCUUGCGUUGGGCCGAAAAUGCAUCGGCGUGAUUCAAAAAUCAAAACAGCGUGAAAACUGCACUGAGAAACCUCUCCUCACCCCUCUUCCCAUCCAUUCCUUCUUCCUUGCACACUGCACGUAACCCUUGUUACUGGUUUCUCAUUUGGCAAAUAUGAAUGUAUAGUCUUACUCCCCCAUUUCUUCUUUUUUUUCAAUUUUCAGUCUUUUUAAUGUUAAUCAUUCUUAUAUCUGCACUGGUUUCCCAUUUUGGCUUCCAGAAGUUAAUUGGUCUUUUGAGUAUCUUCUGCUAUGAGGUGCCUCUUCAAAUCUGCUCAUUAAAAAAACAUAAUUUUGUGUCA